This 1167-nucleotide long non-coding RNA is filed under the name Canis lupus familiaris (dog). RNAcentral describes it as "lncRNA (ENSCAFG00845014895.1)". The record is from RNAcentral. Lineage: Eukaryota; Metazoa; Chordata; Mammalia; Carnivora; Canidae.
AUGGCCACCCGCCUGGAAGGGACCAUUUGCUUCCCCGGGAAGGGGUGCGAGUCCGGCGUCCCGGCCGGGCCGGUGGGGGGCGGCGUGCGGGCCCGGCCGGGGGGGGCGCGCGGGCCGGGGGGCUCCCCUCCGCGAGGGCGGCCGCGGGCCCUGCACGACCCUGCACGACCCGCCGGGGCCCCGCAGCCUGUCGUCCGGCCCUCCCCGCUCGACCGCGUGCUGCAGCCCGAGCCAGCUUCUGCGCGCGGAGCUCCCCCCGGGUCCCGCCGAGCGCUUCCCGCGGCGGACGGGCCGGGAGGCUGCGGCGCGGGGCCCGGGGCGCAUCCGAGCCCGGGGCCAGCGCGCCUCGCCCGGCGGGGCCGGCCUGGGAGGGCCGCGGGCGGCCGAGCUGGGGCUGGGGCUGGGGCUGGGGCUGGGGCUGGGCAGAGCCGCCCGGGGCAGGGGCGGCCUCUCCGCGACUCUCCUCUCCCCCCGGGGAGACCGCGGGGCAGGCAGCUGCAGGAGGCUGUGGCCGCCGCGCGCGUCCGGGGGGACCACGGGGCAAGGGAGGCGGCCUGGUGGCUGCGGACGGAGGGGGCCGCCCUGGAGCGCGGGCCCAGGCCCCCGGGAACGAGCUGGGCGCUCACACGUGCGGCUCGGCCGGCCUCAACCGACCGCUGGGUCGGGCCCCACGCCGCGGAGGCCGCGGGCCUGCGGGGUCGGCGGGGCCGGGAGGCUCCCGGGCGGCGGGAGGGGCCUGAGCAGCAGCUGUGGGGGCGUCGCCGCGGGUGCGAGCGCAAGGGCAGAGCCGGGUGCGCGGGGUGCGGGGGGCCCGGGGCGCGCGGAGGCGGGAGAGCCUCGGGGUGGGCCGGGACUCGCCGACCAGAGCGCGGGGAGGGGGCGCGGCGGCCGCGGAGGGCCGUGAUGAUGAGCCCACGCGGCUGCGCCCUCGGCGCGAACCCGGGCCUACCGGGGCCGGUGAAAGACGCAGCGCGCCUUCGGGCCGGGGGCGCCUCCGGGUCUGACCCGAGACCCAGCGCCCAGGUCUCCCCGCCUGGCGCCCGCCCGUCCCCAGGGGGCCGCAGCAGCCCGACGCGCCGCCCUCCGCUCAGGCUCAGCGGGAUCCCCGCGCGGCCCGGCUGCUGCGAGGCGGACGCUGGGUUCCCGGGGCAGGGCUCCGGGGCUUGA